CUUUUGAUGCUGCAGUUAUAACAAUUUUAUAUGUCUCAAUAUCAGGACAAAGCCCCAAUCUACAAACAUCAUUGAAAAGGUCGCUUUUGAUGCUCCAGUUAUAACAAUUUUAUGUCUCAAUAUUAGGACAAAGCCCCAAUCUACAAACAUUAUUGAAAAGUUCAAUGCAAAAGUCUAUCUCCCCGGUUUUACAUAUAGCUUCUGCCAACGAAUUGAAAGUUCCAACAUCUGGAACGAACCCCUCCUUUGUCAUUUUCCUCACCAGUCCUUUAGCUGAUUCAAGAUAGCC
Molecule: long non-coding RNA, 289 nt
Filed under: Nicotiana benthamiana
Lineage: Eukaryota; Viridiplantae; Streptophyta; Magnoliopsida; Solanales; Solanaceae
Description: long non-coding RNA (NBEN_LNC035215)
Source: RNAcentral